GACGAACGCUGGCGGCGUGCUUAACACAUGCAAGUCGAACGGAAAGGCCCUGCUUUUGUGGGGUGCUCGAGUGGCGCACGGGUGAGUAACACGUGAGUAACCUGCCCUUGACUUUGGGAUAACUUCAGGAAACUGGGGCUAAUACCGGAUAGGAGCUCCUGCUGCAUGGUGGGGGUUGGAAAGUUUCGGCGGUUGGGGAUGGACUCGCGGCUUAUCAGCUUGUUGGUGGGGUAGUGGCUUACCAAGGCUUUGACGGGUAGCCGGCCUGAGAGGGUGACCGGCCACAUUGGGACUGAGGUACGGCCCAGACUCCUACGGGAGGCAGCAGUGGGGAAUAUUGCACAAUGGGCGGAAGCCUGAUGCAGCAACGCCGCGUGCGGGAUGACGGCCUUCGGGUUGUAAACCGCUUUCGCCGGUGACGAAGCGUGAGUGACGGUAAUGGGUAAAGAAGCACCGGCUAACUACGUG
RNAcentral lists this ribosomal RNA (468 nucleotides) under uncultured bacterium. Its description in RNAcentral is "partial 16S ribosomal RNA". It matches the Rfam family "Bacterial small subunit ribosomal RNA", at positions 28 to 507 of the family's 1533-position model. The record is from RNAcentral.